This 741-nucleotide long non-coding RNA is filed under the name Eucalyptus grandis. Its description in RNAcentral is "long non-coding RNA (EGRA_LNC000932)". The record is from RNAcentral. Lineage: Eukaryota; Viridiplantae; Streptophyta; Magnoliopsida; Myrtales; Myrtaceae.
GUUCUCUCUCAAGCUCAAAGUAUCUUUCUGAGUGAUGAUAUCCUUUAAUCUGCCAUCCAUCUCUUCUAUCUUGGAUCUCAUUUUACGAUCGAACAUAAAUGCUUUUGGGCUCAAUCUAAAGCAACAACUCGGAAGAAGGGAACGUGCCUUGCUAGUGCCAGGUUCUGACUUGGACUUAUUUUCCAUGGACUUCAUGGCGAACUCGUCAAGCAAGUCUUCGAUGUCGUAGACCAAGUUCCUGAGAUCUUUAAGCCACGACUUCACAUCGAGAUCGUCGGUGAGUUGCCUAUCCUCUGCAUCAUCCAACACCUUGUUAAUGCUAAUCAGCAUCUUCUCCCAUUUCUCCAGCAGCGUAUAUAUACCCUCGCGCCGCGCAAAGUUGAGAACCUCUUGAGAGGCCAACCUUUCGAAGAGCACCGAAAGAAAGGCGCCAAGAAAGAGCUCUGCGAUGGGCAUGGCUUGGUUCGCGAGUGGCAGAGGAUUAAACAAGAGUGCUGAAAGGGUCGAAACAAAGUGCAGAGAGCGGAGAGGAAACAAAAGUUCUUCUGUCCAGGACAACAGGAUGAAAUGAUGGUGUGAAUCAAAGACUUUUUAAGCACUAAAGCACUCUUUCUUUCUCGGAAGAAGCUGCCGGUGCAUUUUUUUCCAUCUCGUCCUCGCUGAUUUCAUUUCAUUUCUGUGGACUCGAUUUCUCGGAAGCAAGUUGGUCGGAUGUGGGACCGAGUCUUGGCAUCAUUGAAG